UACGUAGGGGGCAAGCGUUGUCCGGAUUUAUUGGGCGUAAAGAGCUCGUAGGCGGUUUGUCGCGUCGGCUGUGAAAACUCGGGGCUCAACCCCGAGCCUGCAGUCGAUACGGGCAAACUAGAGUGUGGUAGGGGAGACUGGAAUUCCUGGUGUAGCGGUGAAAUGCGCAGAUAUCAGGAGGAACACCGGCGGCGAAGGCGGGUCUCUGGGCCAUAACUGACGCUGAGGAGCGAAAGCGUGGGGAGCGAACAGG
Molecule: ribosomal RNA, 253 nt
Filed under: uncultured bacterium
Lineage: Bacteria
Description: partial 16S ribosomal RNA
Rfam family: Bacterial small subunit ribosomal RNA
Source: RNAcentral